Molecule: ribosomal RNA, 1490 nt
Filed under: Lacticaseibacillus rhamnosus
Lineage: Bacteria; Bacillati; Bacillota; Bacilli; Lactobacillales; Lactobacillaceae
Description: bacterial SSU rRNA
Rfam family: Bacterial small subunit ribosomal RNA
Source: RNAcentral
GGCGGCGUGCCUAAUACAUGCAAGUCGAACGAGUUCUGAUUAUUGAAAGGUGCUUGCAUCUUGAUUUAAUUUUGAACGAGUGGCGGACGGGUGAGUAACACGUGGGUAACCUGCCCUUAAGUGGGGGAUAACAUUUGGAAACAGAUGCUAAUACCGCAUAAAUCCAAGAACCGCAUGGUUCUUGGCUGAAAGAUGGCGUAAGCUAUCGCUUUUGGAUGGACCCGCGGCGUAUUAGCUAGUUGGUGAGGUAACGGCUCACCAAGGCAAUGAUACGUAGCCGAACUGAGAGGUUGAUCGGCCACAUUGGGACUGAGACACGGCCCAAACUCCUACGGGAGGCAGCAGUAGGGAAUCUUCCACAAUGGACGCAAGUCUGAUGGAGCAACGCCGCGUGAGUGAAGAAGGCUUUCGGGUCGUAAAACUCUGUUGUUGGAGAAGAAUGGUCGGCAGAGUAACUGUUGUCGGCGUGACGGUAUCCAACCAGAAAGCCACGGCUAACUACGUGCCAGCAGCCGCGGUAAUACGUAGGUGGCAAGCGUUAUCCGGAUUUAUUGGGCGUAAAGCGAGCGCAGGCGGUUUUUUAAGUCUGAUGUGAAAGCCCUCGGCUUAACCGAGGAAGUGCAUCGGAAACUGGGAAACUUGAGUGCAGAAGAGGACAGUGGAACUCCAUGUGUAGCGGUGAAAUGCGUAGAUAUAUGGAAGAACACCAGUGGCGAAGGCGGCUGUCUGGUCUGUAACUGACGCUGAGGCUCGAAAGCAUGGGUAGCGAACAGGAUUAGAUACCCUGGUAGUCCAUGCCGUAAACGAUGAAUGCUAGGUGUUGGAGGGUUUCCGCCCUUCAGUGCCGCAGCUAACGCAUUAAGCAUUCCGCCUGGGGAGUACGACCGCAAGGUUGAAACUCAAAGGAAUUGACGGGGGCCCGCACAAGCGGUGGAGCAUGUGGUUUAAUUCGAAGCAACGCGAAGAACCUUACCAGGUCUUGGACAUCUUUUGAUCACCUGAGAGAUCAGGUUUCCCCUUCGGGGGGCAAAAUGACAGGUGGUGCAUGGUUGUCGUCAGCUCGUGUCGUGAGAUGUUGGGUUAAGUCCCCGCAACGAGCGCAACCCUUAUGACUAGUUGCCAGCAUUUAGUUGGGCACUCUAGUAAGACUGCCGGUGACAAACCGGAGGAAGGUGGGGAUGACGUCAAAUCAUCAUGCCCCUUAUGACCUGGGCUACACACGUGCUACAAUGGAUGGUACAACGAGUUGCGAGACCGCGAGGUCAAGCUAAUCUCUUAAAGCCAUUCUCAGUUCGGACUGUAGGCUGCAACUCGCCUACACGAAGUCGGAAUCGCUAGUAAUCGCGGAUCAGCACGCCGCGGUGAAUACGUUCCCGGGCCUUGUACACACCGCCCGUCACACCAUGAGAGUUUGUAACACCCGAAGCCGGUGGCGUAACCCUUUUAGGGAGCGAGCCGUCUAAGGUGGGACAAAUGAUUAGGGUGAAGUC